Long non-coding RNA from Olea europaea var. sylvestris, 552 nucleotides. RefSeq lists it as uncharacterized. The record is from RefSeq and is a predicted model, not a curated record. The transcript has 3 exons. Lineage: Eukaryota; Viridiplantae; Streptophyta; Magnoliopsida; Lamiales; Oleaceae.
AAAACUUUAGGCGCAAUUGCCCAAAUAAGCAAAUUGAAACCAGAUCCAAGUGAUUUGUCAUUCCCCCAACCCUCAAUUUGAAUCCGGCAGCCAAGUGAAAAUAGCAAACCCUUAAAUUUCCAUUCGAAGCAGAGCUAUAGCAGCUGGAGGCGGUGGCUGUUGGACCGUGUACUACCAGUGUGCGAAGUCAGGGAUGAUUCUCUGACCGACAAACUCCGAGGAUUGGACUUGGACUCUUGGAGGCGACUGGAGCUGUCAAAAAUUGUCGCCAAACAGGCUGAAGAAGGGAAGGAGUUGCUGACAGUUUGAGAAUGCUCUUAUACCAACUUGUAAAUUCAGAGUGUUUAUCGACGCUGUGAAAUGUUGAGAAGUCCAUAUAUUUUGUUGCAUAUUUCUGUUCAAAUCUGGGAUUGUGUGUUUUAUAGAAAUAGGAAAAGAACGCAGAGAAAACUGAUAUCUGGUAGGUACACUGAUCAUAUUUAGGAUCCAAACAGUUUUAAUGAGCAGUUACUUAUAACUUGUACAACAAUCUACAAACAUUUUUCUUAUAAA